UACGUAGGGGGCAAGCGUUGUCCGGAAUCAUUGGGCGUAAAGCGCGUGUAGGCGGCCCGGUAAGUCCGCUGUGAAGGCCCGGGGCUCAACCCCGGGAGGCGGGUGGAUACUGGCAAGCUCGAGUCCGGAAGAGGCGAGUGGAAUUCCUGGUGUAGCGGUGAAAUGCGCAGAUAUCAGGAGGAACACCAAUGGCGAAGGCAGCUCGCUGGGACGUGACUGACGCUGAGACGCGAAAGCGUGGGGAGCAAACAGG
This 253-nucleotide ribosomal RNA is filed under the name uncultured bacterium. RNAcentral's name for it is "partial 16S ribosomal RNA". It matches the Rfam family "Bacterial small subunit ribosomal RNA", at positions 524 to 776 of the family's 1533-position model. The record is from RNAcentral.